This 292-nucleotide ribosomal RNA is filed under the name uncultured bacterium. Its description in RNAcentral is "partial 16S ribosomal RNA". It matches the Rfam family "Archaeal small subunit ribosomal RNA", at positions 456 to 747 of the family's 1478-position model. The record is from RNAcentral.
UGCCAGCCGCCGCGGUAAUACCGGCAGCUCGAGUGAUGGCCGAUUUUAUUGGGCCUAAAGCGUCCGUAGCCGGCCACACAAGUCCAUCGGGAAAUCCGCCAGACUAACAGGCGGGCGUCCGGUGGAACCUGUGUGGCUUGGGACCGGAAGACCCAACGGGUACGUCUUGGGUAGGCGUGAAAUCCUGUAAUCCUGGACGGACCACCGAUAGCGAAAGCACGUUGGGAAGACGGAUCCGACGGUGAGGGACGAAAGCCAGGGUCUCGAACCGGAUUAGAAACCCGUGUAGUCC